RNAcentral lists this long non-coding RNA (1015 nucleotides) under Pogona vitticeps (central bearded dragon). Its description in RNAcentral is "lncRNA (ENSPVIG00000008302.1)". Lineage: Eukaryota; Metazoa; Chordata; Lepidosauria; Squamata; Agamidae. The record is from RNAcentral.
UUAAAAAGACCAAUACAAAGUCAUAUCUUUUGAUACAAUCCAUGCUGUAGACUAUUGGUCACCACAGACACAAUCAAAUUUUAAUCAAAUUUAAUUUUGAUUGACUCAAUAAAACUUGAAAAAGUUGGGGAAAGCAACUGUCUUGGUUGCAUGUUCUGCUUUUUCAAUAUCCCUCUAUAUAUUUGGGGUGGGGAGAAUACAUGCAAUAUAGGAUUUUGUUUCUGAAAACUGAUUCUGCUCCUGCUGCUUAAUUCCCAUCCAAACGCAUAAAGCUCUUUUAGUGACCUCAUAAUUACCUCCAAAGUAACCAUUUCUGAUGGCUCAAACAGGAGGAUUAGAAUCUAAAGGCAGGAUUAAGCGGCAGGCCUUUUCCUCUGUGACCACUGGGAUUCAGAUGCCAGAACCUGGAACUAGUGCCUUUACUUUAUCUGAUCUAUUUUAAGAUUUAUUCCACUUGCUAAGCCUGCUGGGAUUUCAGAGUGCCAGAGUUUCAGCCUGUAUUAACAAUGUAAAUGAGUGAUCCUGCUGAAGAAAAAUUAUAGUGUUUCCCUUCUGUGACUUGCACAGCUGAACCUGAAAAAAGGUCUGAACAUCAUGUAUUUGGUCAUCAAACAUUGUAGUCUCUUUCUUUCAGCUCACUGUGCAAUUGCCUGCCAAUGAGAAAUGAAAGGUUUUUCUUCUCUAUUUCAAGAUUGAAUGAAAUACCUAUGGCUAAUUAGCAGAUUCUAAGGGGCAAAAUGCUGUAUACAAUAAGGGGAACACAUACAGUGGUGCCUCGCAAGACUAUUUUAAUUCGUUCUGCGAAAAUCGUCAUCUUGUGAAAAAAUCGUCUUGCGAGUUUCCCUGUGCAUUGGUCUCAAAAAAAAAAACGGUCUUGCGAAGCAUCGGUCUAAAAAAAAAAAGUCUUGUGAAGCACAGUCAUAGAAAAAAAAAGUCUUGCGAGGCACCAUAGUGGCAGGUUUUUCAUCCCACGAGGCAAUCAUCUAGCGAGGCACGACUGUAUUACCUGAAAUUA